CCUCUCUAUCUCCCCACACAUCCACCAACCACUGGAACACAUCUCCAAAGUUCUGCCGGGCCAGCUCAGCUUCCCCUCAGAAGAAGUGCUGCCACCUGCCAGAUGAAGGAGCCUUUUGAGAGGCAGCUGGCAUCGUGAUUGGACUGCACUUUGGUCUGUUCCAAUCCACCUUCAGCUCCAGAGACGGCAGGCGGGACGAGUCAACGGAGGCCGGGUGGACGAAGGCAUGCAGCUGAGUACAAUCCAGAAAACAACAGAGGAGGAGUGCAGCGGCCCAGUAUAGCCUUCGUCGCUGUAAAAAGUCAGUCCAUCCUGGCCGACUUCAACACCUCUUCAUGACAACUUGUCCUGCCUCGGACCUCGUGGAAACUCCAGAAACUCGGGAUAACCUGUCGAGACUCGAAGAACUCGUGGAGACUCGAAGAACUCGU
Long non-coding RNA from Amphiprion ocellaris (clown anemonefish), 431 nucleotides. The record is from Ensembl. NCBI's taxonomy places the organism in Eukaryota, Metazoa, Chordata, Actinopteri, Pomacentridae.